CAGUGGGGAAUUUUCCGCAAUGGGCGAAAGCCUGACGGAGCAAUGCCGCGUGGAGGUGGAAGGCCUACGGGUCGUCAACUUCUUUUCUCGGAGAAGAAACAAUGACGGUAUCUGAGGAAUAAGCAUCGGCUAACUCUGCGCCAG
RNAcentral lists this ribosomal RNA (144 nucleotides) under uncultured bacterium. Its description in RNAcentral is "partial 16S rRNA". It matches the Rfam family "Bacterial small subunit ribosomal RNA", at positions 352 to 511 of the family's 1533-position model. The record is from RNAcentral.